RNAcentral lists this ribosomal RNA (274 nucleotides) under uncultured bacterium. RNAcentral's name for it is "partial 16S ribosomal RNA". It matches the Rfam family "Bacterial small subunit ribosomal RNA", at positions 523 to 796 of the family's 1533-position model. The record is from RNAcentral.
AUACGAAAGGUGCAAGCGUUGUUCGGAUUUACUGGGCGUAAAGAGAGUGUAGGUUGUUUAUUAAGUCGGAUGUGAAAUCCCGGGGCUCAACCUCGGAACUGCAUUCGACACUGAUAGGCUAGAGUUUGGGAGGGGUAAGCGGAAUUCCGUGUGUAGCAGUGAAAUGCGUAGAUAUACGGAGGAACACCUGAGGCGAAGGCGGCUUACUGGACCAAUACUGACACUGAGGAUCGAAAGCGUGGGUAGCAAACAGGAUUAGAAACCCCGGUAGUCC